This is a long non-coding RNA of Archocentrus centrarchus (flier cichlid), 300 nucleotides long. RefSeq lists it as uncharacterized. Lineage: Eukaryota; Metazoa; Chordata; Actinopteri; Cichliformes; Cichlidae. The record is from RefSeq and is a predicted model, not a curated record. The transcript has 3 exons.
UUCCUGUGUGAUGGAGAGAGAGACUGCGUGGAUGGCUCAGAUGAACUGGGGUGCAAUCAGGUUACUGCUACAUCAGAGUCUCCUGUCUUCACUUUUGCAUCACCUUGCAUCGCUCCUUCAGUUCUCUGCCCUGGUUCAUCACUGUGUAUCUCUCAAAAUCAGCUCUGUGAUGGACAAAGAGACUGCCCUGAUGGAUUUGAUGAAAAUGAGUGUGGGGUCCAAUGUGAAAACCCAAAUGACUUCUUGUGCAGCAACCAGAAAAAGUGCAUCCCUGAAAUCCAAGUGUGCGAUGGUCGUGCC